CACAAGCUGCAUUGCUCGUAGCCAUAAUAAAGUUUUAACCUUUAAGCUGUAAUAGGGAGUUUAAAUCGAAACGGGAAUGCCAGGCCUCUGUCUAUACGACAAGGAGGACAUGCAGGAAUGUUUCUGCAAACACCCACUUUGAGGAGUGGUGGUUUAAAACUUUCUUAUACCUGUUUACGACAAAAGCGGCUAACCA
Molecule: non-coding RNA, 196 nt
Filed under: Niallia endozanthoxylica
Lineage: Bacteria; Bacillati; Bacillota; Bacilli; Caryophanales; Bacillaceae
Description: 6S / SsrS RNA
Rfam family: 6S / SsrS RNA
About the family: E. coli 6S RNA was the first non coding RNA to be sequenced, but its function was unknown until recently. It consists of 184 nucleotides that fold into an extended hairpin structure with a large single-stranded internal bulge. The 6S RNA specifically associates with RNA polymerase holoenzyme containing the sigma70 specificity factor.
Source: Rfam by way of RNAcentral